AUGAGUUGCGAACGGGUGAGUAACGCGUAGGUAACCUGCCUGGUAGCGGGGGAUAACUAUUGGAAACGAUAGCUAAUACCGCAUAACAAUGGAUGACACAUGUCAUUUAUUUGAAAGGGGCAAUUGCUCCACUACAAGAUGGACCUGCGUUGUAUUAGCUAGUAGGUGAGGUAACGGCUCACCUAGGCGACGAUACAUAGCCGACCUGAGAGGGUGAUCGGCCACACUGGGACUGAGACACGGCCCAGACUCCUACGGGAGGCAGCAGUAGGGAAUCUUCGGCAAUGGACGAAAGUCUGACCGAGCAACGCCGCGUGAGUGAAGAAGGUUUUCGGAUCGUAAAGCUCUGUUGUAAGAGAAGAACGGGUGUGAGAGUGGAAAGUUCACACUGUGACGGUAUCUUACCAGAAAGGGACGGCUAACUACGUGCCAGCAGCCGCGGUAAUACGUAGGUCCCGAGCGUUGUCCGGAUUUAUUGGGCGUAAAGCGAGCGCAGGCGGUUAGAUAAGUCUGAAGUUAAAGGCUGUGGCUUAACCAUAGUACGCUUUGGAAACUGUUUAACUUGAGUGCAGAAGGGGAGAGUGGAAUUCCAUGUGUAGCGGUGAAAUGCGUAGAUAUAUGGAGGAACACCGGUGGCGAAAGCGGCUCUCUGGUCUGUAACUGACGCUGAGGCUCGAAAGCGUGGGGAGCAAACAGG
RNAcentral lists this ribosomal RNA (697 nucleotides) under Anophryoides haemophila. RNAcentral describes it as "partial Bacterial small subunit ribosomal RNA". It matches the Rfam family "Bacterial small subunit ribosomal RNA", at positions 91 to 776 of the family's 1533-position model. The record is from RNAcentral. Lineage: Eukaryota; Ciliophora; Oligohymenophorea; Philasterida; Glauconematidae.